Molecule: non-coding RNA, 72 nt
Organism: Aedes albopictus (Asian tiger mosquito)
Lineage: Eukaryota; Metazoa; Arthropoda; Insecta; Diptera; Culicidae
Source: Rfam
UGACCAGCAACUCCUAUCUCUACCUCCUCGCGGUACCGGCCAGAAACUAUGAGCAACCUUAGAGAAGAUCGG